GGCGCAACAGUUGGUGGCUUGCGGCGCUGGUCAGAGGCAGGGUGGGUAGCUGGCGGCAUCUAGGGUUUCAGAAAAUGAAACCCUAGUUAGAUAUUUUUUAGGGAAAUUGGGCCUGGCUAUUGGGCUUCGGGUUUGGGUGUAAAUGGGUAAAUUUGGGCUUGGUUUUGCUGGGUUAGGUCUGUUAGGGGCUAAAUUUGGGUUGUUGGGCUAUUCGGGUUUUGUAUUGUAAUUGGGCCCGGGUUUUU
This 245-nucleotide long non-coding RNA is filed under the name Gossypium raimondii (Peruvian cotton). Its description in RNAcentral is "long non-coding RNA (GRAI_LNC006569)". The record is from RNAcentral. Lineage: Eukaryota; Viridiplantae; Streptophyta; Magnoliopsida; Malvales; Malvaceae.